Long non-coding RNA from Herpailurus yagouaroundi (jaguarundi), 1481 nucleotides. RefSeq lists it as uncharacterized. The transcript has 4 exons. Lineage: Eukaryota; Metazoa; Chordata; Mammalia; Carnivora; Felidae. The record is from RefSeq and is a predicted model, not a curated record.
UUCAGAAUCUCCCAUAAACCCCAACUAAAUGCAUCCCAACUCGAGAUCGCCAUAGUGGGGGCCCAAAAAUGCCGUGGUCUCCCCAGUGGGCCCCGGCAAGAGUGCGAUGAAGGAACAGCCUACCUGGAAAGAGGCAGCGGCCUUAACCGAUCGUUAACAUGAGGUCCGUGGAUUUCGCCGACGUUUGACCACGUGAACCCACUACAGGGCCCUCGAGAGUCGUGGCUGGGAUCCCGGCAAGAGAAGCUGCAUCAGCUCCGCGGCGUUGCAACUGCCCUGGGCGGCUCAGGCCCAGAGGGCGGCUCUCCAGACCUAGGUGUCCUCUGUCCGCGCGGGCAUCUGCCGGUAUCCGCACGGCCCCAUCCAGCCUUUGGUCAGGAGUCCAGGCCUGAAGCCACAAAGACUUCCGGUGCCCCUGUCCUUGUGGCGUGCCCUCCUACAAGGACACGGGUGGUGCAGGUGUCUGUGCCUCCUCCCACUCACCGGCGCACAGCCCCUCCGGGCUCUGGGUGCUUCCAAUUGACUCAGGGUCCAGGGAAGAGUAGCGUUGGGGACAGAGCCGGAGCGGGUGUCACACAACCAGCUUUAGGAGGCCUGACAUAAGGAAGUGGGAUUGUUGGGUCGUAUGGUAUUCCUGUUUUCGAGUCCCACCAUCUUCGGACUUCCCUUGCUUCCAAACGAGAAGUCAGGGGUGGGUACCGUCGUCGGUAACCUCGUCCUCUGCAAGUCAUGUGACAUGUUCUUCACUUUCAAGAUUUUCUCUUGAUUUUUGGAUUUUCCUUUCAAGUGCCCAGCCUUACUGCCAGCUUCAAGGGAGCCCGGCGGCCCUGAGGCCGGAGAACCACGGGAUUCACCGCCCACUGCCCGCCAGGGAGGAAGGGAAAGUCACCCGGAUGCGCUGGCUGGGGAGGAGAUCGGGGGUCCAGCUGUCCUUGCACGGAUUUCCGGCCAGUCCUGCAGCGUGCAGCCCCUGCCCGCAGGCCCGCCUCCGCUGACACCACCUCGUCCUGCGGCCCAGAGGCUAGAUCGUAACAACCCUAGCUAAAAGUUCUGCUGCGUGCUACCAAUUCCGGAUAACGUCAGUGAUAAAAUACCGCUCCAGAUACCUCUUGACUUCAGCACCAGUGGGUAGACUUCGCAUCAGCACACUGAUGGAGACCUAUCUUUGGACACGCGCUGCAUGCGUGCAAAUCAGCUACAACUCUGUUUCUAGGGGGAGCUCCUAAACGUUGGGUGCACCGUGUUUCCAGCCCCGAUGGGAUUUUGUUGUCCCGUGUUUAAAUAGAAAACCAGGGCACAUCGGUACAGCCACUAAUGCGCUUGAGUUAUUUGAGUCCUGUCAUUCCGGGUGGCCACUUGGAGUUUUCAUUUAAUUCACAGUUUUUCAGCAGCAGAGAUGUCCAAAAGCCACUAGGAUUGCUUGCGGUCGAGUCACAAUUUCCAGAAGAUGACCUAAAGUGGGAUUUUUAUGACUCUUUGCC